GGAGGAUCAUUACAACAGCCGGGGACGCC
RNAcentral lists this ribosomal RNA (29 nucleotides) under Tuber mesentericum. Its description in RNAcentral is "partial 18S ribosomal RNA". The record is from RNAcentral. Lineage: Eukaryota; Fungi; Ascomycota; Pezizomycetes; Pezizales; Tuberaceae.